GAAUAAACUCAAGCUGAUGACCCACUGAGCCAUCAAGAAAGGGCAAAGGAAAAACACCGCUUUUGGGUGAAGCAGCAGAAUGUUGUGUUGCUUUGCUUCAAUCGGUGGUGUGACAAGG
RNAcentral lists this small nucleolar RNA (118 nucleotides) under Myotis lucifugus (little brown bat). Lineage: Eukaryota; Metazoa; Chordata; Mammalia; Chiroptera; Vespertilionidae. The record is from RNAcentral.